UGUAAGCGUAUACCAAAGUUGUUGCAGUUAAAACGCUCGUAGUCGGAAUUUGGCAGUUCCGGAUGUGUGCACGUCGUGUGCGCACUUCGCGGGGAUUGCUUUUGUGGUCUUGCGUAGGAUGAGGCACUUUUAUUAGUGAACGUCCUCACGCAACCACUUUUUACUGUGAGAAAAUCAGAGUGCUCAAAGCAGGCAUUUGCCGUGAAUGUAUUAGCAUGGAAUAAUAGAAUAGGACUUGGUUCUAUUUUGUUGGUUUGUUGGGACUGAGUAAUGAUUAAGAGGGACAGUUGGGGGCAUUUGUAUUUCGGAGCUAGAGGUGAAAUUCUUAGAUUACCGAAAGACAAACUGCUGCGAAAGCGUCUGCCAAGGAUGUUUUCAUUGA
RNAcentral lists this ribosomal RNA (382 nucleotides) under uncultured eukaryote. RNAcentral describes it as "partial 18S ribosomal RNA". It matches the Rfam family "Eukaryotic small subunit ribosomal RNA", at positions 592 to 976 of the family's 1831-position model. The record is from RNAcentral.